RNAcentral lists this long non-coding RNA (539 nucleotides) under Medicago truncatula (barrel medic). RNAcentral describes it as "long non-coding RNA (MTRU_LNC000611)". The record is from RNAcentral. Lineage: Eukaryota; Viridiplantae; Streptophyta; Magnoliopsida; Fabales; Fabaceae.
AAACACAGAAGGCCAAACUGGGUUUGCGGUUUUGCCGUCGUCGUUUUCUCAUCGCUUUCUCAUCAUCAUUUGUCGUCAUUUUACUAUCUUUUUCUCAUGGAAUUUUCGUUUCCACAUGAAAGCUGAUGCCUUGGCCUCUCUUCUUCUUUCCAAUUUUAACAACAACCCCAUCAGAACCAAGGAAUGGUUGAUGUUGAUUUUAUUUCCUUUUAUGUUGUAAGGAUUGAAAGGGUUCUCAUAGAUCUGAAUAAAGUAUUGCUGGUGGUGAUUUUGUUUUCUUUUUGUGUUGUGGGAAAUUGAGAUUUGAGUGAAAGAAGAAGAAGAAGAAAAAAGUGGUUUUUGAUAAUUUGUGUUAUUUGUUGAUGAAAGAGAACCAAGAAGAGAAGAAGAUGUGAAAGAACACAUCGUUGAGUUUUUUUUUUUUUUUUUGGAGUGUGAGAGUGAUAGCCUCUUGUGUUCUUCCACCUCUGUUCUGUAUUUUUUCUUCCUCCUGUUGUUUCUUGGUUGUUUUAUUUUUUUAAUUAACAAGGAAAUAGGAU